UACGGAAGGCAGCAGUGGGGAAUAUUGCACAAUGGGCGCAAGCCUGAUGCAGCCAUGCCGCGUGUAUGAAGAAGGCCUUCGGGUUGUAAAGUACUUUCAGUCGUGAGGAAGGUGUUAAGGUUAAUAACCUUAGCAAUUGACGUUAGCGACAGAAGAAGCACCGGCUAACUCCGUGCCAGCAGCCGCGGUAAUACGGAGGGUGCGAGCGUUAAUCGGAAUUACUGGGCGUAAAGGGCACGCAGGCGGUUAAUUAAGUUGGAUGUGAAAUCCCCGGGCUUAACCUGGGAAUGGCAUUCAAGACUGGUUAGCUAGAGUCUUGUAGAGGGGGUAGAAUUCCAUGUGUAGCGGUGAAAUGCGUAGAGAUGUGGAGGAAUACCGGUGGCGAAGGCGGCCCCCUGGACAAAGACCUGACGCUCAUGUGUGAAAGCGUGGGGAGCAAAC
RNAcentral lists this ribosomal RNA (441 nucleotides) under uncultured bacterium. Its description in RNAcentral is "bacterial SSU rRNA". It matches the Rfam family "Bacterial small subunit ribosomal RNA", at positions 340 to 773 of the family's 1533-position model. The record is from RNAcentral.